RNAcentral lists this long non-coding RNA (299 nucleotides) under Lathyrus oleraceus (garden pea). RNAcentral's name for it is "Pisum sativum (pea) long non-coding RNA (PSAT_LNC023030)". The record is from RNAcentral. Lineage: Eukaryota; Viridiplantae; Streptophyta; Magnoliopsida; Fabales; Fabaceae.
GGGAUUCCUGAUGAGAUUACCCGUCUUCUUGAGCAACGAAGAAAGGCUCAUUCAGCUGUAUCAUGAGAAUCAGCAAAACAGUCAAACUGGGGCAUUGCAAAUUAAAAAAUUAAAAAAAAAAAAAAAAGAGGGUGAAAAAAAAAGAAUGAAAAAUCAAAAAUCAGGAAAAAAAAAUUCAAAAUUUUUCCAAAAGAAAAAAGAAAAAUUAUACCCUCAAGUCCCUAGUUGACUGAUGCUGAAUGGAUUCAGAGUCGUUACGACCAACUGAAUUUGAUCGAAGAGAAGCGAUUAACUGCCAU